UGCAUCGUCCGGGAAUCGUACCCGGCCCGCGUGACAGGCGAGCAUUCUACCACUGAACCACCGAUGG
Cordylochernes scorpioides is the source of this 67-nucleotide non-coding RNA. Lineage: Eukaryota; Metazoa; Arthropoda; Arachnida; Pseudoscorpiones; Chernetidae. The record is from the annotation of a GenBank genome assembly.